The sequence is a transfer RNA, 73 nucleotides long. It matches the Rfam family "tRNA". From Rfam's summary of the family: Transfer RNA (tRNA) molecules are approximately 80 nucleotides in length. Their secondary structure includes four short double-helical elements and three loops (D, anti-codon, and T loops). Further hydrogen bonds mediate the characteristic L-shaped molecular structure. tRNAs have two regions of fundamental functional importance: the anti-codon, which is responsible for specific mRNA codon recognition, and the 3' end, to which the tRNAs corresponding amino acid is attached (by aminoacyl-tRNA synthetases). tRNAs cope with the degeneracy of the genetic code in two manners: having more than one tRNA (with a specific anti-codon) for a particular amino acid; and 'wobble' base-pairing, i.e. permitting non-standard base-pairing at the 3rd anti-codon position. The record is from Rfam.
GUGGGUAUGGGGCAGUUGGUAGCCUACUGGCUUUGGAAGCUAGAUGUCGCAGGUUCGAGUCCUGCUACCCGCA